AAUCCAAACCCCCCAACAAAGACUGAUACAAGCAAGAAGGAAAUGACAUCGGCGGCGGAUAAUCGUGGAGAUGAUUGACCAGGGCGGACAUACUGGUAGUUUGCUGCCCAAACGACUUCCAUGGAUGAAUCGAGUUGUGUUUCUCAUUCGGUGGAACAGCAGAGUCGAUGCUAGUACUAGUAUGCUGAUCUGGUUGUGAGUGAGAUGGCGGUGGAGGACAGAUGGUUCAACUCCAUACUAAUAUCAACCAGCCGAUCCCCCAUUUCAUAUUUCUCAAUAUUUUAAUUAUUUUUUGAUAGAAAAACAAGACCAUUUAGAUACCCAGCCUACCUUAUUUUAUCCUCCACAACAAUAUCCGCAACAAUGCCGGAGUGGGGGCUCCGUACCCUUGCCCAUCGAAUAUGCAAUACCACGUGAUCUACAAACCCAAUUCGAGACCUUCAUUUCUCAUCUUCCUCAACACAAAAAAAUAAAUAAAAAUAUCACCGCCUCAACAACAACCACAACUACAGAUUUCAUCGUUACUAAAUUUCAAAGAGACAUCCCGCGCAGCGCGCGAUGGCCUCCCAACGCUGGAUCCCGCCCUUCUUGCUGCCGAGAGGGAUCUCAAAACGAACUCUCCUCUGCUUCGCAUCCCAUAAUAUCCGCCUACAGCAAGCCUCGCUACAAGCAACUCCCCUCCGCCUGAAAUCCACAAGCUCCUCAUCAAAGCCCACCAAGACCUCCUCCGCCCGUGUCCUCGAGAAGCCAGACCGUUUCCGGCCCCCGUCCCACCCAGCACGGCGCGUGAUGAACCCACGCAGUUCACAGCCCCGCAACUACCCAGGGCCCCGUCUCUCUGAAGCGGAGCUGGCAGAGAAGAAGACGAAGCGGUAUCCGAACAUGUUCCCCCCGGAGGGGACGGUGAUGCAUAAGUUUCUGACGAACAGGGGUAUUCACGUUUGGAUCUCUAUGUCCGUCCUCAUCUCCCUCGCAACAUUCACCUUCACCACAAACUUCAAACAUACUUCUCCCUUCGCGCACCUGCUGCCGUCCUGGUCGCAGCUCCUCACCCACCCCAUCGACACCGUCUCGCAGGCCAUGGCGGUGCUGAAAAUGCAUGCGGAUCACCAGACACUGGAGACGGCGGAGAAGCGGAAGAAGAGGACAGACGACGUAGAGAAGCGGAGG
This 1170-nucleotide small RNA is filed under the name Histoplasma capsulatum var. duboisii H88. RNAcentral describes it as "Histoplasma capsulatum H88 hypothetical RNA". The record is from RNAcentral. Lineage: Eukaryota; Fungi; Ascomycota; Eurotiomycetes; Onygenales; Ajellomycetaceae.